RNAcentral lists this ribosomal RNA (253 nucleotides) under uncultured bacterium. RNAcentral describes it as "partial 16S ribosomal RNA". It matches the Rfam family "Bacterial small subunit ribosomal RNA", at positions 524 to 776 of the family's 1533-position model. The record is from RNAcentral.
UACGUAGGCAGCAAGCGUUGUUCGGAAUUACUGGGCGUAAAGAGUGUGUAGGUGGUGUCGUAAGUUUGGUGUGAAAUCUCCCGGCUUAACUGGGAGGGUGCGCCGAAGACUGCGAUGCUGGAGUAUGGGAGAGGAAAGCGGAAUUCCUGGUGUAGCGGUGAAAUGCGUAGAUAUCAGGAGGAACACCUGCGGUGUAGACGGCUUUCUGGACCAUUACUGACACUGAGACACGAAAGCUAGGGGAGCGAAUGGG